GCCGCGAAUACUGGAGAGAUUCUUUAUGAAUUGUACGAACCUUCGACCAGCAGAAAAUUUCGCGAUGAAAUUCGUGAUUUUAUAUUUCAAUUAAUUCAAAAUCAUUUAAAGUUUACCGCUUGCGGAUUUUACGAUCUAAAUAAUACGCUUAUAUACAAUGUGAUCGGUUCGAUUACUACUUACCUCGUCAUAUUUAUUCAAGUUGGAGGUAAACCUGAAAUAUUCUACAAUAAUACUAUUUACAAUACAACGUCGACGACAUAAUGAAUGAACCGGAAUAUUUCUUUAUUCGAAAAUUUAUCGUACGUAAUAAACAAUAUUUUAUAUAAUAUUAUA
Molecule: long non-coding RNA, 336 nt
Organism: Vespa velutina
Lineage: Eukaryota; Metazoa; Arthropoda; Insecta; Hymenoptera; Vespidae
Exons: 3
Source: RefSeq, a predicted model, not a curated record